GCUUCCAUAGCUCAGUUGGUUAGAGCUUCGUACUAAUACUACAACUUGCUAGCAUUGGUAAUGCGAAGGUCGCAGGUUCAAGCCCUGCUGGGAGCA
Non-coding RNA from Neonectria magnoliae, 96 nucleotides. The record is from the annotation of a GenBank genome assembly. NCBI's taxonomy places the organism in Eukaryota, Fungi, Ascomycota, Sordariomycetes, Hypocreales, Nectriaceae.